Small nucleolar RNA from Ornithorhynchus anatinus (platypus), 138 nucleotides. The record is from RefSeq and is a predicted model, not a curated record. Lineage: Eukaryota; Metazoa; Chordata; Mammalia; Monotremata; Ornithorhynchidae.
UUCCUCUCAGGAUGGCACCUGGAGAGUUUCCAGGACUCUACCAGUCUUGGUAGUGGGAGGGAGAGUCAAGCAGAGGCCUACCCAUUCCAUUCCUAGAUUGGCCAGUGGCUAGCGAGUGGAAGACAAUUUGCUAUAAAU